UGGGGGUGGCUCGGUGGCAAAGCACUUGCCUGGCGUGCGCGAGGCCCUGGGUUCCAUCCCCAGCCACUCAA
RNAcentral lists this transfer RNA (71 nucleotides) under Marmota monax (woodchuck). RNAcentral describes it as "tRNA.Ala". The record is from RNAcentral. Lineage: Eukaryota; Metazoa; Chordata; Mammalia; Rodentia; Sciuridae.